UCUGGAAUAGCUCAGUCAGCAGAACAUGAGACUCUUAAUCUCAAGGUCGUGGCUUCAAACCCCAGACUGAGCAAAA
Molecule: non-coding RNA, 76 nt
Organism: Podarcis lilfordi (Lilford's wall lizard)
Lineage: Eukaryota; Metazoa; Chordata; Lepidosauria; Squamata; Lacertidae
Source: the annotation of a GenBank genome assembly